This 404-nucleotide ribosomal RNA is filed under the name Bacteroidota bacterium. RNAcentral describes it as "Bacteroidetes bacterium partial 16S ribosomal RNA". It matches the Rfam family "Bacterial small subunit ribosomal RNA", at positions 355 to 776 of the family's 1533-position model. The record is from RNAcentral. Lineage: Bacteria; Pseudomonadati; Bacteroidota.
UGGGGAAUAUUGCACAAUGGGGGAAACCCUGAUGCAGCGACGCCGCGUGAGCGAUGAAGGCUUUCGAGUCGUAAAGCUCUGUCCUAUGGGAAGAUAAUGACGGUACCAUAGAAGAAAGCCCCGGCUAAUUACGUGCCAGCAGCCGCGGUAAUACGUAAGGGGCGAGCGUUGUCCGGAAUUAUUGGGCGUAAAGAGUGCGUAGGCGGCAAAUUAAGUCAGAUGUGAAAACUAAGGGCUCAACCCCUAGAUUGCAUCUGAAACUGAUAUGCUUGAGUCAAGGAGAGGAAAGUGGAAUUCCUAGUGUAGCGGUGGAAUGAGUAGAUAUUAGGAGGAAUACCGGUGGCGAAGGCGACUUGCUGGGCUUGAACUGACGCUGAGGGACGAAAGCGUGGGUAGCAAACAGG